Molecule: transfer RNA, 41 nt
Filed under: Anolis distichus dominicensis
Lineage: Eukaryota; Metazoa; Chordata; Lepidosauria; Squamata; Anolidae
Description: partial tRNA-Ala
Source: RNAcentral
GGUUGCAUUCAGAAGAUGUGGGUUAGUCCCCACAAGUCUUA